GGAGAUAUAGCUCAGUUGGUAGAAUGCUUACCUCGAAUGUACAAGGUCCUGGGUUCAAUCCCCAGCACCACCA
Ictidomys tridecemlineatus (thirteen-lined ground squirrel) is the source of this 73-nucleotide non-coding RNA. The record is from Rfam. NCBI's taxonomy places the organism in Eukaryota, Metazoa, Chordata, Mammalia, Rodentia, Sciuridae.